Molecule: ribosomal RNA, 292 nt
Filed under: uncultured bacterium
Lineage: Bacteria
Description: partial 16S ribosomal RNA
Rfam family: Bacterial small subunit ribosomal RNA
Source: RNAcentral
GUGCCAGCCGCCGCGGUAAGACAGAGGGUGCAAACGUUGUUCGGAAUUACUGGGCGUAAAGCGCGUGUAGGCGGCCCGACAAGUCGGAUGUGAAAGCCCCGGGCUCAACCCGGGAAGUGCAUUCGAUACUGUCAGGCUGGAGUCCCGGAGAGGAUGGUGGAACUCUCGGUGUAGAGGUGAAAUUCGUAGAUAUCGAGAAGAACACCGGCGGCGAAGGCGGCCAUCUGGACGGUGACUGACGCUGAGACGCGAAAGCGUGGGGAGCAAACAGGAUUAGAAACCCGAGUAGUCC